This 585-nucleotide unclassified non-coding RNA is filed under the name Hevea brasiliensis (rubber tree). Lineage: Eukaryota; Viridiplantae; Streptophyta; Magnoliopsida; Malpighiales; Euphorbiaceae. The record is from RNAcentral.
AGCUUAAUUCUUAUUAGUGAGCAGGUACAUCUGAGUCGGGAAAUCUAUUAUACACAUGGAGUUAAGUUACAAGUUUUAAAUAAAAUAUCAAAUUAGUCCUAAUUAAACUACACCAGCUUAUUGGCUGAAUCCAUAUCCGGGUGAUCUGUUCACUUUAUUAAUAUGGAGAAUAAGUUACCAGUAAUCCUUCAUUCUCCUCCCCCUCUUAAAAUUAUGUUCCAUGCUCUUAUUAUAUUAACAGCCUUUUCUUUUGAAAUUGUAAUAACCAAUUUCAGAGUGGCUGAAGUGCAGCGAAAAUGUGGGUUCUGUUUGUUUUCACUGAAAAUAUUUUCCUGCAAACAUUUUACAUAUUUUCUGUUGUUUGGGGCGCUCAAAAUAAUUGUUAAUGAAAAAUAUUUUCCUACUCAAAGGGAAAACUAUUAAUUUUAAGGAAAAUGACUUCCCAAAAAGAGGAUUUUUUUUUCCGGACUUUGAUAAACUUCUUAAAAUGUAAAGAAACUAGCAAAUUCAUGACAUAAAUACAUACCCAUAAUUUCACCGGCUACCACCGGCAACCACUGUUGGCCUCUGGCAAUUGGCACAAAU